AAGAAAAGCAAGUAAGGGGCUAAGAGAAGAGAUAGGCUGGAGAAAACAACAGAAAGUGUCCAAAGUUUGGAAUCAGUUCAAAUGUAAUUAAAAAGAACACUCUGCACAGUGUGUCUACUGCAAAAUCAAACUAGCUUACCGCACUAAGAGCAUGACGUCAGUGCUUCAGCAUCUCAACAGAAAACAUUGAGUCUAACUUAAUCAUCCGUUUCACAAAAAGGA
This is a long non-coding RNA of Etheostoma spectabile (orangethroat darter), 222 nucleotides long. RefSeq lists it as uncharacterized. NCBI's taxonomy places the organism in Eukaryota, Metazoa, Chordata, Actinopteri, Perciformes, Percidae. The record is from RefSeq and is a predicted model, not a curated record. The transcript has 3 exons.